RNAcentral lists this ribosomal RNA (450 nucleotides) under uncultured bacterium. RNAcentral's name for it is "partial 16S ribosomal RNA". It matches the Rfam family "Bacterial small subunit ribosomal RNA", at positions 354 to 796 of the family's 1533-position model. The record is from RNAcentral.
GUGGGGAAUUUUGGACAAUGGGCGCAAGCCUGAUCCAGCAAUGCCGCGUGCAGGAUGAAGGCCUUCGGGUUGUAAACUGCUUUUGUACGGAACGAAAAGCCCUGGGUUAAUACCCUGGGGUCAUGACGGUACCGUAAGAAUAAGCACCGGCUAACUACGUGCCAGCAGCCGCGGUAAUACGUAGGGUGCAAGCGUUAAUCGGAAUUACUGGGCGUAAAGCGUGCGCAGGCGGUUUUGUAAGACAGAGGUGAAAUCCCCGGGCUCAACCUGGGAACUGCCUUUGUGACUGCAAGGCUAGAGUACGGCAGAGGGGGAUGGAAUUCCGCGUGUAGCAGUGAAAUGCGUAGAUAUGCGGAGGAACACCGAUGGCGAAGGCAAUCCCCUGGGCCUGUACUGACGCUCAUGCACGAAAGCGUGGGGAGCAAACAGGAUUAGAUACCCCGGUAGUCC